CCCUUAGAUGUUCUGGGCCGCACGCGCGCUACACUGAUGCAGGCAACGAGUUUAUAACCUUGACCGGAAGGUCUGGGUAAUCUUUGGAAACUGCAUCGUGCUGGGGAUAGAUUAUUGCAAUUAUUAAUCUUCAACGAGGAAUUCCUAGUAAGCGUGAGUCAUCAGCUCGCGUUGAUUACGUCCCUGCCCUUUGUACACACCGCCCGUCGCUCCUACCGAUUGGAUGGUCCGGUGAAUAUUUCGGACUGCGAUUUGGACUUGGCAACAAGACCAGAUUGCGGAAAGUUGUGUAAACCUUAUCAUCUAGAGGAAGGAGAAGUCGUANCA
This 327-nucleotide ribosomal RNA is filed under the name uncultured eukaryote. RNAcentral describes it as "partial 18S ribosomal RNA". It matches the Rfam family "Eukaryotic small subunit ribosomal RNA", at positions 1470 to 1796 of the family's 1831-position model. The record is from RNAcentral.